AAAUGAAUUGACGGGGCCGCACAAGCGGUGGAUUAUGUGGAUUAAUUCGAUGCAGCGCGAAAAACCUUACCUGGCCCUGACAUGUAACGAACUUCCAGAGAUGGAUUGGUGCUCGAAAGAGAACGUUAACACAGGUGCUGCAUGGCUGUCGUCAGCUCGUGUCGUGAGAUGUUGGGUUAAGUCCCGCAACGAGCGCAACCCUUGCCAUUAAUUGCCAUCAUUUAGUUGGGCACUUUAAAUGGGACUGCCGGUGACAAACCGGAGGAAGGUGGGGAUGACGUCAAGUCCUCAUGGCCCUUAUGGCCAGGGCUUCACACGUAAUACAAUGGUCGGUACAGAGGGUUGCCAACCCGCGAGGGGGAGCCAAUCCCAGAAAGCCGAUCGUAGUCCGGAUUGUAGUCUGCAACUCGACUACAUGAAGUCGGAAUCGCUAGUAAUCGCGGAUCAGCAUGUCCGCGGUCCGAAUACGUUCCGGGCCUU
This 480-nucleotide ribosomal RNA is filed under the name uncultured Methylophilaceae bacterium. RNAcentral's name for it is "bacterial SSU rRNA". It matches the Rfam family "Bacterial small subunit ribosomal RNA", at positions 903 to 1382 of the family's 1533-position model. Lineage: Bacteria; Pseudomonadati; Pseudomonadota; Betaproteobacteria; Nitrosomonadales; Methylophilaceae. The record is from RNAcentral.